CCUACGGGCGGCAGCAGUGGGGAAUAUUGCGCAAUGGGCGAAAGCCUGACGCAGCGACGCCGCGUGAGGGAUGAAGGUCUUCGGAUCGUAAACUUCUGUCAGCAGGGAAGAACGGUCACUGUGCUAAUCAGCAGUGAAUUGACGGUACCUGCAAAGGAAGCACCGGCUAACUCCGUGCCAGCAGCCGCGGUAAUACGGAGGGUGCGAGCGUUAAUCGGAAUUACUGGGCGUAAAGCGCUCGUAGGCGGUAUGUCAAGUCAAAGGUGAAAUCCCCGGGCUCAACGUGGGAACUGCCUUUGAAACUGGCAAACGUGAGUGUGUGAGAGGAUAGUAGAAUUCCAGGUGUAGGAGUGAAAUGCGUAGAGAUCUGGAGGAACACCAGUGGCGAAGGCGACCAUCUGGCACAUAACUGACGCUGAGGAGCGAAAGCGUGGGGAGCAAACAGGAUUAGAUACCCCUGUAGUC
This 465-nucleotide ribosomal RNA is filed under the name uncultured bacterium. RNAcentral describes it as "partial 16S ribosomal RNA". It matches the Rfam family "Bacterial small subunit ribosomal RNA", at positions 338 to 795 of the family's 1533-position model. The record is from RNAcentral.